UUAAUUGAAACCAAAACAAGAGGUACACCAUUGUUAAUGAUGUCACUGGCCACUAGCCCAAUUAAA
Molecule: transfer RNA, 66 nt
Filed under: Scolytinae sp. BMNH 1039994
Lineage: Eukaryota; Metazoa; Arthropoda; Insecta; Coleoptera; Curculionidae
Description: tRNA-Asn
Source: RNAcentral